UGGGGAAUCUUCCGCAAUGGACGAAAGUCUGACGGAGCAACGCCGCGUGAGUGAUGACGGCCUUCGGGUUGUAAAGCUCUGUUAAUCGGGACGAAUGGUUCUUGUGCAAAUAGUGUGAGGAUUUGACGGUACCGGAAUAGAAAGCCACAGCUAACUACGUGCCAGCAGCCGCGGUAAUACGUAGGUGGCAAGCGUUGUCCGGAAUUAUUGGGCGUAAAGCGCGCGCAGGCGGAUUGGUCAGUCUGUCUUAAAAGUUCGGGGCUUAACCCCGUGAUGGGAUGGAAACUGCCAAUCUAGAGUAUCGGAGAGGAAAGUGGAAUUCCUAGUGUAGCGGUGAAAUGCGUAGAUAUUAGGAAGAACACCAGUGGCGAAGGCGACUUUCUGGACGAAAACUGACGCUGAGGCGCGAAAGCCAGGGGAGCGAACGGGAUUAGAUACCCCGGUAGUCCUGGCCGUAAACGAUGGGUACUAGGUGUAGGAGGUAUCGACCCCUUCUGUGCCGGAGUUAACGCAAUAAGUACCCCGCCUGGGGAGUACGACCGCAAGGUUG
RNAcentral lists this ribosomal RNA (550 nucleotides) under uncultured bacterium. RNAcentral describes it as "bacterial SSU rRNA". It matches the Rfam family "Bacterial small subunit ribosomal RNA", at positions 355 to 896 of the family's 1533-position model. The record is from RNAcentral.